Molecule: non-coding RNA, 114 nt
Organism: Cinara cedri
Lineage: Eukaryota; Metazoa; Arthropoda; Insecta; Hemiptera; Aphididae
Source: the annotation of a GenBank genome assembly
CACAGGUACGGUGAUAUGGUUCCGGAAACAAUAGCCGGGAAAAUUGUCGGAGGUGUGUGUUCGCUUAGCGGAGUGCUCGUUAUCGCACUGCCCGUACCAGUAAUUGUGUCCAAC